This 253-nucleotide ribosomal RNA is filed under the name uncultured bacterium. RNAcentral describes it as "partial 16S ribosomal RNA". It matches the Rfam family "Bacterial small subunit ribosomal RNA", at positions 524 to 776 of the family's 1533-position model. The record is from RNAcentral.
UACGUAGGUGGCGAGCGUUGUCCGGAAUUAUUGGGCGUAAAGGGCACGCAGGCGGCAUCUUAAGUCAGAUGUGAAAACCCGGGGCUUAACUUCGGGAUUGCAUUUGAAACUGGGGAGCUAGAGUGCAGGAGAGGAAAGCGGAAUUCCUAGUGUAGCGGUGAAAUGCGUAGAUAUUAGGAGGAACACCAGUGGCGAAGGCGGCUUUCUGGACUGUAACUGACGCUGAGGUGCGAAAGCGUGGGGAGCAAACAGG